Molecule: long non-coding RNA, 133 nt
Organism: Sinocyclocheilus grahami
Lineage: Eukaryota; Metazoa; Chordata; Actinopteri; Cypriniformes; Cyprinidae
Exons: 3
Source: RefSeq, a predicted model, not a curated record
UCUAUGAUUAUUCACCCAUCUGUCUGUUUUUUUAUAGGGAAUUUUUAUGACAUUUGACAAAAACAAGAACCAGGCACUGGAGUAUCUAGAAAUCCCACCAGCUCUGACAGCAGCAGGCAUACGGGUGGAGGAA